UCAGGACCCUGCAUUGCCACCUGCUGAUCUGCACAGCUGAGGAUGCACCACGCUCCCCUGCGUAAUUCACACCCUUAGGAGCACCAGGGUCAAAGCAGAAGGAGCUGCGAGCUCUUGGCUUCAAGGAAGCAUCGAUUGAAAUCCCUGCAAGGCCAACUCACCCUCUGGUCACUCCAAAAUCAAAUCGCUUCAGCCCAUGUUCAGCCCGUGGCUGCAGAGCUGCUGGUACCUGGGGUACCCCUGUGCCCCCCCUGUGCCGUGGCUGCUGCCACCUGCCCUGGGCAGCUGCGUUGAAUUGAGUCUGGAAGUAUUUAGGGGAGGGGAAAAGUGCUACGGAAAGUAAUAUUUAAUUAGCCCCGAGAGGACCAUUAAUUGGCAGCCCUAAUUUGAAGUCUUGCCAGGGUCUGUUGUAUUCCUACCCACUUAGCAUAAAGUGGGUCUAGAAGCUAAUUUGUAGGUCACACUGAUUGGGUUGCCUGUGUAGGGCUGCUGAGGGGAGGGGGCUGUGGCUGGGAGGCUGGUACCAUAUGCCACCUACCCCAUCAGCUUCCCUUCCCUCUGAAAAUGGUGACAACGCCAGCACCCUGCUCCUGGCUUUGCUUUGGAAUCCCUGAGGUUCCUGGGUCAGUCCCAGCUGGGGGCUGCUGUCAGCCUGCAGCGAGGGCAGCGGUUCAUGGUCUUGUGCCAGCUCUCCCAGGGACUUGCUCCUGGACCACAGGGAGAUGGCUCUUCCUUAAAGGCACACAGCCUUUGGUGACACCGCUACCAUGGAACCGCAGGAAAGGAGAGCUGGAGGGGACUUUAAAAGGAUUCAUAUAAAUUGCUUUUCUGUUGCAAAAUUGCCAGCAAUUCCACUCAGCGUGAACCCGGCAGCGAGGCAUCCUGGGAUUCCUCCCUGCCUCCUCCCUCCAC
This 912-nucleotide long non-coding RNA is filed under the name Anas platyrhynchos platyrhynchos (common mallard). Its description in RNAcentral is "lncRNA (ENSAPLG00000017560.1)". Lineage: Eukaryota; Metazoa; Chordata; Aves; Anseriformes; Anatidae. The record is from RNAcentral.